UGCCCUUUAGCUCAGUGGUAGAGCAUUCCCUUGAUAAGGGAGUGGCCGCUUGUUCGAUCCAAGCAAGGGCAACCA
RNAcentral lists this transfer RNA (75 nucleotides) under Roseivirga misakiensis. RNAcentral's name for it is "tRNA-Ile(gat)". It matches the Rfam family "tRNA". From Rfam's summary of the family: Transfer RNA (tRNA) molecules are approximately 80 nucleotides in length. Their secondary structure includes four short double-helical elements and three loops (D, anti-codon, and T loops). Further hydrogen bonds mediate the characteristic L-shaped molecular structure. tRNAs have two regions of fundamental functional importance: the anti-codon, which is responsible for specific mRNA codon recognition, and the 3' end, to which the tRNAs corresponding amino acid is attached (by aminoacyl-tRNA synthetases). tRNAs cope with the degeneracy of the genetic code in two manners: having more than one tRNA (with a specific anti-codon) for a particular amino acid; and 'wobble' base-pairing, i.e. permitting non-standard base-pairing at the 3rd anti-codon position. Lineage: Bacteria; Pseudomonadati; Bacteroidota; Cytophagia; Cytophagales; Roseivirgaceae. The record is from RNAcentral.